GACGAACGCUGGCGGCGUGCUUAACACAUGCAAGUCGAACGGAAAGGCCCGGCGUUUGCGGGGUGCUCGAGUGGCGAACGCGUGAGUAACACGUGAGUAAACUGCCCUUAACUGUGGGGGAACUUCAGGGAACUCGGGCUAAUACCGGAUAGGAGAUACUGCUGCGCGGGGGGGGUUGGAAAGAUGGGCGGUUGGGGAUGGAUUCUCGGCUUAUCGGCUUGUUGGUGGGGGAGUGGCUUACCAAGGCUUUGCAGGGUAGCCGGCCUGAGAGGGUAACCGGCCACCUUAGUCCUGCGAUACGGCCCAGACUCCUACGGGAGGCAGCAGGGGGGAAUAUUGCGCAAUGGGCGGAAGCCUGAUGCAGCAACGCCGCGUGCGGGAUGACGGCCUUCGGGUUGUAAACCGCUUUCGCCUGUGCCGAAGCGUGAGUGACGGUAAUGGGUAAAGAAGCACCGGCUAACUACGUG
This 467-nucleotide ribosomal RNA is filed under the name uncultured bacterium. RNAcentral's name for it is "partial 16S ribosomal RNA". It matches the Rfam family "Bacterial small subunit ribosomal RNA", at positions 28 to 507 of the family's 1533-position model. The record is from RNAcentral.